RNAcentral lists this ribosomal RNA (1432 nucleotides) under uncultured bacterium. RNAcentral's name for it is "16S ribosomal RNA". It matches the Rfam family "Bacterial small subunit ribosomal RNA". The record is from RNAcentral.
CAGGCUUAACACAUGCAAGUCGAGGGGCAGCAUGGUCUUAGCUUGCUAAGGCCGAUGGCGACCGGCGCACGGGUGAGUAACACGUAUCCAACCUGCCGUCUACUCUUGGACAGCCUUCUGAAAGGAAGAUUAAUACAAGAUGGCAUCAUGAGUCCGCAUGUUCACAUGAUUAAAGGUAUUCCGGUAGACGAUGGGGAUGCGUUCCAUUAGAUAGUAGGCGGGGUAACGGCCCACCUAGUCUUCGAUGGAUAGGGGUUCUGAGAGGAAGGUCCCCCACAUUGGAACUGAGACACGGUCCAAACUCCUACGGGAGGCAGCAGUGAGGAAUAUUGGUCAAUGGGCGAGAGCUUGAACCAGCCAAGUAGCGUGAAGGAUGACUGCCCUAUGGGUUGUAAACUUCUUUUAUAAAGGAAUAAAGUCGGGUAUGGAUACCCGUUUGCAUGUACUUUAUGAAUAAGGAUCGGCUAACUCCGUGCCAGCAGCCGCGGUAAUACGGAGGAUCCGAGCGUUAUCCGGAUUUAUUGGGUUUAAAGGGAGCGUAGAUGGAUGUUUAAGUCAGUUGUGAAAGUUUGCGGCUCAACCGUAAAAUUGCAGUUGAUACUGGAUAUCUUGAGUGCAGUUGAGGCAGGCGGAAUUCGUGGUGUAGCGGUGAAAUGCUUAGAUAUCACGAAGAACUCCGAUUGCGAAGGCAGCCUGCUAAGCUGCAACUGACAUUGAGGCUCGAAAGUGUGGGUAUCAAACAGGAUUAGAUACCCUGGUAGUCCACACGGUAAACGAUGAAUACUCGCUGUUUGCGAUAUACUGCAAGCGGCCAAGCGAAAGCGUUAAGUAUUCCACCUGGGGAGUACGCCGGCAACGGUGAAACUCAAAGGAAUUGACGGGGGCCCGCACAAGCGGAGGAACAUGUGGUUUAAUUCGAUGAUACGCGAGGAACCUUACCCGGGCUUAAAUUGCAGAUGAAUUACGGUGAAAGCCGUAAGCCGCAAGGCAUCUGUGAAGGUGCUGCAUGGUUGUCGUCAGCUCGUGCCGUGAGGUGUCGGCUUAAGUGCCAUAACGAGCGCAACCCUUGUUGUCAGUUACUAACAGGUUCCGCUGAGGACUCUGACAAGACUGCCAUCGUAAGAUGUGAGGAAGGUGGGGAUGACGUCAAAUCAGCACGGCCCUUACGUCCGGGGCUACACACGUGUUACAAUGGGGGGUACAGAGGGCCGCUACCACGCGAGUGGAUGCCAAUCCCCAAAACCUCUCUCAGUUCGGACUGGAGUCUGCAACCCGACUCCACGAAGCUGGAUUCGCUAGUAAUCGCGCAUCAGCCACGGCGCGGUGAAUACGUUCCCGGGCCUUGUACACACCGCCCGUCAAGCCAUGGGAGCCGGGGGUACCUGAAGUGCGUAACCGCGAGGAGCGCCCUAGGGUAAAACUGGUGACUGGG